AAGGAUGCUUGCUCAUACUUUGAAAGUCUUCAGUAUUGUCUUCAUUGUUUGCAGAUGCUAUAAACAUCUUUAUUUUUUUUAAGAUUUUAUUUAUUUAUUCAUGAGAAAUACAGAGAGAGAGAGAGAGAGAAAGAGGCAGAGACACAGGCCGAGGGAGAAGCAGGCUCCUUGUAAGGAGCCCUAUGUGGAACUCAAUCCUGGAUCCUGGGAUCAAGCCCUGGGCUGAAGGCAGAUGCUCAACUGCUGAGCCACCCAGCCAUCCCUAUAAACAUCUUUAUAACAAGGAAAGAGAGAACUGUAUCACAGCAAAGCCCUGGCAACGUCCGGUUGUACAAUCAGCCACGACAAACGACAGGAGGGGAUCUGAGCGCCCUCUACCCACAAGACACACGACUGGAGAAAAGAGUGCCCGACUGACAAGUCAACGCCCGUCUGUGACUGAUAAAGCUCGGCAGGGAUGUGAGUGACAGGACCUUCCCUGCAACACCACUCAGGCUGUAUGACAGUCUAGAAAGGAGGGGAGCCCUACGACCUCUGCCUUCUGCACAUAUAUGCACCCAGGCACAUCCAUGGAGCUAUUCUCCAUCUACGGAGUCUCCACGAAGAAUCCUCCUCCACCACGGACGACCUGCCCCAACAAAGUGCCAUCCUCAUCCCAAGCGCAUGUUUCUGCUUUUCCCAAACCAUAGCUUGUGAGAUAUUCUAAAGGCUGGUCUUGUUCCUUGCAGGGAACACCCAGGCACUCCAGUCUGUGACUAUAAAAUAAAGUUAAAC
Molecule: long non-coding RNA, 774 nt
Filed under: Vulpes vulpes (red fox)
Lineage: Eukaryota; Metazoa; Chordata; Mammalia; Carnivora; Canidae
Description: lncRNA (ENSVVUG00000021619.1)
Source: RNAcentral